AGCGGUAGAGGGUGGUGCAACCAGACAACGCCCUCGCCUUUUACUAGGGCGUUCCGUGUUUCACCCUCACAUCAAUGUCGCUUUCCCAAUUUUUCAGCUCUCAGCUUCGCCCUGAGUU
This 118-nucleotide small nuclear RNA is filed under the name Hermanssonia centrifuga. RNAcentral's name for it is "Phlebia centrifuga U5 spliceosomal RNA". It matches the Rfam family "U5 spliceosomal RNA". Rfam says of the family: U5 RNA is a component of both types of known spliceosome. The precise function of this molecule is unknown, though it is known that the 5' loop is required for splice site selection and p220 binding, and that both the 3' stem-loop and the Sm site are important for Sm protein binding and cap methylation. Lineage: Eukaryota; Fungi; Basidiomycota; Agaricomycetes; Polyporales; Meruliaceae. The record is from Rfam by way of RNAcentral.